This 1283-nucleotide ribosomal RNA is filed under the name Staphylococcus aureus M1476. RNAcentral's name for it is "bacterial SSU rRNA". It matches the Rfam family "Bacterial small subunit ribosomal RNA", at positions 8 to 1272 of the family's 1533-position model. Lineage: Bacteria; Bacillati; Bacillota; Bacilli; Caryophanales; Staphylococcaceae. The record is from RNAcentral.
AGAGUUUGAUCCUGGCUCAGGAUGAACGCUGGCGGCGUGCCUAAUACAUGCAAGUCGAGCGAACGGACGAGAAGCUUGCUUCUCUGAUGUUAGCGGCGGACGGGUGAGUAACACGUGGAUAACCUACCUAUAAGACUGGGAUAACUUCGGGAAACCGGAGCUAAUACCGGAUAAUAUUUUGAACCGCAUGGUUCAAAAGUGAAAGACGGUCUUGCUGUCACUUAUAGAUGGAUCCGCGCUGCAUUAGCUAGUUGGUAAGGUAACGGCUUACCAAGGCAACGAUGCAUAGCCGACCUGAGAGGGUGAUCGGCCACACUGGAACUGAGACACGGUCCAGACUCCUACGGGAGGCAGCAGUAGGGAAUCUUCCGCAAUGGGCGAAAGCCUGACGGAGCAACGCCGCGUGAGUGAUGAAGGUCUUCGGAUCGUAAAACUCUGUUAUUAGGGAAGAACAUAUGUGUAAGUAACUGUGCACAUCUUGACGGUACCUAAUCAGAAAGCCACGGCUAACUACGUGCCAGCAGCCGCGGUAAUACGUAGGUGGCAAGCGUUAUCCGGAAUUAUUGGGCGUAAAGCGCGCGUAGGCGGUUUUUUAAGUCUGAUGUGAAAGCCCACGGCUCAACCGUGGAGGGUCAUUGGAAACUGGAAAACUUGAGUGCAGAAGAGGAAAGUGGAAUUCCAUGUGUAGCGGUGAAAUGCGCAGAGAUAUGGAGGAACACCAGUGGCGAAGGCGACUUUCUGGUCUGUAACUGACGCUGAUGUGCGAAAGCGUGGGGAUCAAACAGGAUUAGAUACCCUGGUAGUCCACGCCGUAAACGAUGAGUGCUAAGUGUUAGGGGGUUUCCGCCCCUUAGUGCUGCAGCUAACGCAUUAAGCACUCCGCCUGGGGAGUACGACCGCAAGGUUGAAACUCAAAGGAAUUGACGGGGACCCGCACAAGCGGUGGAGCAUGUGGUUUAAUUCGAAGCAACGCGAAGAACCUUACCAAAUCUUGACAUCCUUUGACAACUCUAGAGAUAGAGCUUUCCCCUUCGGGGGACAAAGUGACAGGUGGUGCAUGGUUGUCGUCAGCUCGUGUCGUGAGAUGUUGGGUUAAGUCCCGCAACGAGCGCAACCCUUAAGCUUAGUUGCCAUCAUUAAGUUGGGCACUCUAAGUUGACUGCCGGUGACAAACCGGAGGAAGGUGGGGAUGACGUCAAAUCAUCAUGCCCCUUAUGAUUUGGGCUACACACGUGCUACAAUGGACAAUACAAAGGGCAGCGAAACCGUGAGGUCAAGCAAAU